This 450-nucleotide ribosomal RNA is filed under the name uncultured bacterium. RNAcentral's name for it is "bacterial SSU rRNA". It matches the Rfam family "Bacterial small subunit ribosomal RNA", at positions 354 to 796 of the family's 1533-position model. The record is from RNAcentral.
GUGGGGAAUUUUGGACAAUGGGGGCAACCCUGAUCCAGCCAUGCCGCGUGCGGGAAGAAGGCCUUCGGGUUGUAAACCGCUUUUGGUCGGGAAGAAAAGGCGCCACCUAAUACGGGGCGUUCUUGACGGUACCGGCAGAAUAAGCACCGGCUAACUACGUGCCAGCAGCCGCGGUAAUACGUAGGGUGCGAGCGUUAAUCGGAAUUACUGGGCGUAAAGCGUGCGCAGGCGGUUUGUUAAGUCUGAUGUGAAAGCCCCGGGCUCAACCUGGGAAUGGCAUUGGAAACUGGCAAGCUCGAGUUUGGCAGAGGGGGGUGGAAUUCCGCGUGUAGCAGUGAAAUGCGUAGAGAUGCGGAGGAACACCGAUGGCGAAGGCAGCCCCCUGGGCUAAGACUGACGCUCAGGCACGAAAGCGUGGGGAGCAAACAGGAUUAGAUACCCGGGUAGUCC